Molecule: long non-coding RNA, 1368 nt
Filed under: Naja naja (Indian cobra)
Lineage: Eukaryota; Metazoa; Chordata; Lepidosauria; Squamata; Elapidae
Description: lncRNA (ENSNNAG00000001172.1)
Source: RNAcentral
GGAACAUCCACAGUUCAGAGGAUCUGGGUUUCCUGGCUUGGGAAGGCAUCCUCCUUCCAGGGUUUGGAGGAAGGGAAAUAGUCCCUUCUGCCACAAUCCAAAGGUUCAGGCUGAUCUGCCUCCGUGUCUACUUAAUUUAAUUUAAUUAUGAGAUUUAUAUGCCACCCUCUCUCCCUAAGGACUCAGAGCAGCUUACAAUGCUAAAAAACAUAUAAUAAAAAUGUUAAAAAUAAAUUAAACCCAGAGAAAUCUCAUAAUCAUAAAAACUAAAACAACAAUAUCAGAGUCUUUGCAAAGUGGCACCCUGGAUACAUUUUUUUUAAAAAAAGCCCACAAACUUCAAGAUUUCUUAAGUUUCAAGACAAACUAGCAUAUCCUUUGUAAUGUGUACCCGUGGUGGAAGUGGUACAUGUUGUGUUAAUGUCCAAUAUUUUUUUUCCCACCCGUUGCAAUUAUCUUUCAUCAGUGGUUGUGAUCUACUGUUUUUGCUUUUAAUCCCUGCAAGCCACUCUUGUGGAUAUUUUUCAGGAAGGUAAAUUGUAAACAUAUUAAAUAAUGAAAGGUUCCUGUCAGUGCUUUGCAUUAUAGUUUUCUACAUUGUUUCAUCUUAGCCUGCAAACUGGACAUACGGUAAUUCCCAAAGAAUCCAGUCAUGGAGGGGAGAAAUGCCUCAUUCUUCAAGAUGGCUGAAAGGGUCUCUCCUUGCAAUUCUACUCCCAUGAAUGAAAGUUGCUUUGCAGAUUCAGAAGAGUGCUUGAAUUUAUUUGGACAAACGGCAAGAACUCAGCAGGACAUUCUGAAAGAAGAAACCACACAUUGUGUUGUCCAUCGUUGCCCUUUCAGGGAGUUCUGUUGCCAGGAUGCUGAAGGACUCCAAGAGGUAUGCAGCCAACUCCACCAUCUUUAUGAUCGGUGGCUGAGCAAAGAGGACCACAGGAAAACUCAGAUGAUGGAUUCAGUGGCCCUGCCCCUGGCUACCCUGUCCCAGAUGGAGAACUGUGGCUGGAUGUGUGGAAUAGAGACCAGCUCUCCAGAAAUGGGUCUGGCUGAAAGCUUCGUCUUGAGCCAAGUGGAACAGAAAAUGCAGCAAAAACAGCAGGUUCGUGCGCUGUUCAUGGAGAUGGCCACCCAAGGUUCUGAAGCAUUAAGGGGGGUGUCACAUCUCCCUCCAGAAAUUGUCUUCGGGAAGAUAUCCCAGGAGGAUCCAUCUCAGGAGACUUCAUCAGAAAAUGGAACAAUGGUGAUUGUACCAAUGAAAAGGUCUCUUCUUUGUGAUGGUGCAGAAACAAGGGUUGUAAUUCCCACUCAGGUAGGAGGAUCUCACCUCCCAAAGUGCAAAAUGAUUUAUUCAAGGAACAUGAAACGUUC